Molecule: long non-coding RNA, 199 nt
Filed under: Solanum tuberosum (potato)
Lineage: Eukaryota; Viridiplantae; Streptophyta; Magnoliopsida; Solanales; Solanaceae
Description: long non-coding RNA (STUB_LNC011253)
Source: RNAcentral
UUCUCUUUUACUUUCCUUUUUUCAUUCCUCUUUUUCUUUGAUUUACUUUCCUUUUCCAUUCCUCUUUUUCUUUGAUCUUGACAAUUGAUUUUCCAGAUUUGGGGAUACAUUCUAUGACUGCCACCAUCUUCUUCGAGCUUCAUCGGAGUUAUGAACACUAGCAAAAAUUUGAUGCUCUCUAUUGAAGCAACAAUUUAAC